CCAAAUAGUACAGUUUAUUCUUUAAAGUUUCCCCUGUUUCGCUGUCUGACAGUUCCGACCACUCUUCACUAAAAAUUAAUUAUCUCAUUGUACAGAAUUCGGAUGAUGUUUUAGCUUGUUUUUUCUAAAAAUAGACUCAUUAAGGAUUCUAACCAUAUAAACUAUAACUCAUAAUAAUUUCUGUACAAUUUUUAAUGAUUUUCCAAAGUCAGAACAGGGGAACCCGAAUUCAUUCUGACCUUGUCUCACAAAAUCUAUUAUAUCUCAUGAUUUACAAUUCCAUUGCUCACAUCAUUUCUUUUAUAAGAAAC
This 311-nucleotide long non-coding RNA is filed under the name Gossypium barbadense (sea-island cotton). RNAcentral describes it as "long non-coding RNA (GBAR_LNC017587)". Lineage: Eukaryota; Viridiplantae; Streptophyta; Magnoliopsida; Malvales; Malvaceae. The record is from RNAcentral.